CCUACGGGCGGCAGCAGUGAGGAAUAUUGGUCAAUGGGCGCGAGCCUGAACCAGCCAAGUCGCGUGAGGGAAGACGGUCCUAUGGAUUGUAAACCUCUUUUGUCGGGGAGCAAAAGACGCCACGCGUGGCGUUCCGAGAGUACCCGAAGAAAAAGCAUCGGCAAACACCGUGCCAGCAGCCGCGGUAAUACGGAGGAUGCGAGCGUUAUCCGGAUUUAGUGGGUUAAAAGGGUGCGCAGGCGGAAGAUCAAGUCAGCGGUAAAAUUGAGAGGCUCAACCUCUUCGAGCCGUUGAAACUGGUUUUCUUGAGUGAGUGAGAAGUAUGCGGAAUGCGUGGUGUAGCGGUGAAAUGCAUAGAUAUCACGCAGAACUCCGAUUGCGAAGGCAGCAUACCGGCGCUCAACUGACGCUCAUGCACGAAAGUGUGGGUAUCGAACAGGAUUAGAUACCCGGGUAGUC
Molecule: ribosomal RNA, 459 nt
Filed under: uncultured bacterium
Lineage: Bacteria
Description: partial 16S ribosomal RNA
Rfam family: Bacterial small subunit ribosomal RNA
Source: RNAcentral